RNAcentral lists this ribosomal RNA (253 nucleotides) under uncultured bacterium. RNAcentral describes it as "partial 16S ribosomal RNA". It matches the Rfam family "Bacterial small subunit ribosomal RNA", at positions 524 to 776 of the family's 1533-position model. The record is from RNAcentral.
UACGUAGGGUGCGAGCGUUGUCCGGAAUUAUUGGGCGUAAAGGGCUCGUAGGCGGUUUGUCGCGUCGGGGGUGAAAACCAGGUGCUUAACACCUGGCUUGCUUUCGAUACGGGCAGACUAGAGGUAUGCAGGGGAGAACGGAAUUCCUGGUGUAGCGGUGAAAUGCGCAGAUAUCAGGAGGAACACCGGUGGCGAAGGCGGUUCUCUGGGCAUGACCUGACGCUGAGGAGCGAAAGUGUGGGGAGCGAACAGG